This 460-nucleotide long non-coding RNA is filed under the name Linum usitatissimum (flax). RNAcentral describes it as "long non-coding RNA (LUSI_LNC001959)". Lineage: Eukaryota; Viridiplantae; Streptophyta; Magnoliopsida; Malpighiales; Linaceae. The record is from RNAcentral.
UCCUAUCAAAUCAAAUACAGGCUUACAGCUCCUUCUCUUUCACUCUCCAGAAUCUCCAAAAGAAAAUCAAAUAAGAAAAAAAGAUUGAAACUUUCUCCUUCUUGUUCUUCCUCUUCCUCCCAGUUGUUCAUUGGCCUUGAAAUCAAGAAAUUUCAAAGAGGUUUGUCUUUCUUCCUUCAUUUCCAGUUCUGGAUUCUGGUUCGAAGUUGAAAGAGCUAAUUUUGACUGCAUAAUUAGUCUUUGUUUAUGGCCACUUAUUCCUUUUUCUUAUCCCUUCUUUGAAACUAUUUGUUAACAACUUUGGAUAAUGACAGAAAACGAUUUGAUUAGUAAUUAACUAAUCUAUUUAAUUGUAAAGCUUACCAUUAAACAAACAUUCGUUCAUUAAAUUAUUUGUUUAUUCCUCCUUUUCGGUAAACAGGGGAAGAAAGCAGAGCCAUGAAUCAUCAUCAUAAUCAUU